Molecule: ribosomal RNA, 350 nt
Filed under: uncultured Glomeromycotina
Lineage: Eukaryota; Fungi; Glomeromycota
Description: SSU rRNA
Rfam family: Eukaryotic small subunit ribosomal RNA
Source: RNAcentral
AGCAGCCGCGGUAAUUCCAGCUCCAAUAGCGUAUAUUAAAGUUGCUGCAGUUAAAAGCUCGUAGUUGAAUUUCGGGAUCAAUAUGUUGGUCGUGCCUUGGUACGUACUAGCUCAUUGGUUUCUCCCUUCUGACGAACCAUGAUGUCAUUAAUUUGAUGUCAUGGGGAAUCAGGACUGUUACUUUGAAAAAUUAGAGUGUUUAAAGCAGGCUCGCGCUUGAAUACAUUAGCAUGGAAUAAUGAAAUAGGACAUUUGAUUCUAUUUUGUUGGUUUCUAGGAUCGAUGUAAUGAUUAAUAGGGAUAGUUGAGGGCAUUAGUAUUCAAUUGCAGAGUGAAAUUCUUGGAUUUAU